GUCUGGAAAGGCGCGCGAUACAGGGUGACAGCCCCGUACACAAAAGCGCAUGUGCUGUGAGCUCGAUGAGUAGGGCGGGACACGUGAUAUCCUGUCUGAAUAUGGGGGGACCAUCCUCCAAGGCUAAAUACUCCUGACUGACCGAUAGUGAACCAGUACCGUGAGGGAAAGGCGAAAAGAACCCCGGCGAGGGGAGUGAAAAAGAACCUGAAACCGUGUACGUACAAGCAGUGGGAGCCCCACCACCAAAGCAUUCUCUGGUGUUGAAGGCCCUGCAAAGCAGCAUCGCGGUGGCGGAGCGUCGUUUGCGACGCCCAACACACAAAACAAGCGGUGAGUGCUUUGGGGUGGGGUGACUGCGUACCUUUUGUAUAAUGGGUCAGCGACUUAUAUUCUGUAGCAAGGUUAACCGUAUAGGGGAGCCGGAGGGAAACCGAGUCUUAACCGGGCGUUAAGUUGCAGGGUAUAGACCCGAAACCCGGUGAUCUAGCCAUGGGCAGGUUGAAGGUUGGGUAACACUAACUGGAGGACCGAACCGACUAAUGUUGAAAAAUUAGCGGAUGACCUGUGGCUGGGGGUGAAAGGCCAAUCAAACCGGGAGAUAGCUGGUUCUCCCCGAAAGCUAUUUAGGUAGCGCCUCGUGAAUUCAUCUCCGGGGGUAGAGCACUGUUUCGGCUAGGGGGCCAUCCCGGCUUACCAACCCGAUGCAAACUGCGAAUACCGGAGAAUGUUAUCACGGGAGACACACGGCGGGUGCUAACGUCCGUCGUGAAGAGGGAAACAACCCAGACCGCCAGCUAAGGUCCCAAAGUCAUGGUUAAGUGGGAAACGAUGUGGGAAGGCCCAGACAGCCAGGAUGUUGGCUUAGAAGCAGCCAUCAUUUAAAGAAAGCGUAAUAGCUCACUGGUCGAGUCGGCCUGCGCGGAAGAUGUAACGGGGCUAAACCAUGCACCGAAGCUGCGGCAGCGACGCUUAUGCGUUGUUGGGUAGGGGAGCGUUCUGUAAGCCUGUGAAGGUGGCCUGUGAGGGUUGCUGGAGGUAUCAGAAGUGCGAAUGCUGACAUAAGUAACGAUAAAGCGGGUGAAAAGCCCGCUCGCCGGAAGACCAAGGGUUCCUGUCCAACGUUAAUCGGGGCAGGGUGAGUCGACCCCUAAGGCGAGGCCGAAAGGCGUAGUCGAUGGGAAACGGGUUAAUAUUCCCGUACUUGGUGUUACUGCGAAGGGGGGACGGAGAAGGCUAUGUUGGCCGGGCGACGGUUGUCCCGGUUUAAGCGUGUAGGUGUGUGUUCCAGGUAAAUCCGGUUCACUUUAACACUGAGGCGUGAUGACGAGGCACUACGGUGCUGAAGCAACAAAUGCCCUGCUUCCAGGAAAAGCCUCUAAGCAUCAGGUAACAUCAAAUCGUACCCCAAACCGACACAGGUGGUCAGGUAGAGAAUACCAAGGCGCUUGAGAGAACUCGGGUGAAGGAACUAGGCAAAAUGGUGCCGUAACUUCGGGAGAAGGCACGCUGACANGUAGGUGAAGUGAUUUACUCAUGGAGCUGAAGUCAGUCGAAGAUACCAGCUGGCUGCAACUGUUUAUUAAAAACACAGCACUGUGCAAACACGAAAGUGGACGUAUACGGUGUGACGCCUGCCCGGUGCCGGAAGGUUAAUUGAUGGGGUCAGCGCAAGCGAAGCUCCUGAUCGAAGCCCCGGUAAACGGCGGCCGUAACUAUAACGGUCCUAAGGUAGCGAAAUUCCUUGUCGGGUAAGUUCCGACCUGCACGAAUGGCGUAAUGAUGGCCAGGCUGUCUCCACCCGAGACUCAGUGAAAUUGAACUCGCUGUGAAGAUGCAGUGUACCCGCGGCAAGACGGAAAGACCCCGUGAACCUUUACUAUAGCUUGACACUGAACAUUGAGCCUUGAUGUGUAGGAUAGGUGGGAGGCUUUGAAGUGUGGACGCCAGUCUGCAUGGAGCCGACCUUGAAAUACCACCCUUUAAUGUUUGAUGUUCUAACGUGGACCCGUAAUCCGGGUUGCGGACAGUGUCUGGUGGGUAGUUUGACUGGGGCGGUCUCCUCCUAAAGAGUAACGGAGGAGCACGAAGGUUGGCUAAUCCUGGUCGGACAUCAGGAGGUUAGUGCAAUGGCAUAAGCCAGCUUGACUGCGAGCGUGACGGCGCGAGCAGGUGCGAAAGCAGGUCAUAGUGAUCCGGUGGUUCUGAAUGGAAGGGCCAUCGCUCAACGGAUAAAAGGUACUCCGGGGAUAACAGGCUGAUACCGCCCAAGAGUUCAUAUCGACGGCGGUGUUUGGCACCUCGAUGUCGGCUCAUCACAUCCUGGGGCUGAAGUAGGUCCCAAGGGUAUGGCUGUUCGCCAUUUAAAGUGGUACGCGAGCUGGGUUUAGAACGUCGUGAGACAGUUCGGUCCCUAUCUGCCGUGGGCGCUGGAGAACUGAGGGGGGCUGCUCCUAGUACGAGAGGACCGGAGUGGACGCAUCACUGGUGUUCGGGUUGUCAUGCCAAUGGCACUGCCCGGUAGCUAAAUGCGGAAGAGAUAAGUGCUGAAAGCAUCUAAGCACGAAACUUGCCCCGAGAUGAGUUCUCCCUGAGACUUAGAGUCUCCUGAAGGAACGUUGAAGACGACGACGUUGAUAGGCCGGGUGUGUAAGCGCAGCGAUGCGUUGAGCUAACCGGUACUAAUGAACCGUGAGGCUUAACCUU
This 2706-nucleotide ribosomal RNA is filed under the name Salmonella enterica subsp. enterica serovar Weltevreden. Its description in RNAcentral is "bacterial LSU rRNA". It matches the Rfam family "Bacterial large subunit ribosomal RNA", at positions 340 to 2925 of the family's 2925-position model. Lineage: Bacteria; Pseudomonadati; Pseudomonadota; Gammaproteobacteria; Enterobacterales; Enterobacteriaceae. The record is from RNAcentral.